This 253-nucleotide ribosomal RNA is filed under the name uncultured bacterium. RNAcentral describes it as "partial 16S ribosomal RNA". It matches the Rfam family "Bacterial small subunit ribosomal RNA", at positions 524 to 776 of the family's 1533-position model. The record is from RNAcentral.
UACAGAGGGUGCGAGCGUUAAUCGGAAUUACUGGGCGUAAAGCGUGCGUAGGUGGUGAGUUAAGUCUGUCGUGAAAGCCCCGGGCUCAACCUGGGAAUGGCGAUGGAUACUGGCUCGCUAGAGUGCGGUAGAGGAGAGUGGAAUUCCCGGUGUAGCAGUGAAAUGCGUAGAGAUCGGGAGGAACAUCAGUUGCGAAGGCGGCUCUCUGGACCAGCACUGACACUGAGGCACGAAAGCGUGGGGAGCAAACAGG